AUUGAACGCUGGCGGCAGGCCUAACACAUGCAAGUCGAACGAGUGGCGGACGGGUGAGUAAUGUCUGGGAAACUGCCUUAUGGAGGGGGAUAACUACGGGAAACGGUAGCUAAUCCCGCAUACCAUCGUAUGAGCUCAGAGGGGAUUGGCUAGUGGGUGGGGUAACGGCUCACAUAGCCGACGAUCCCUAGCUGGUCUGAGAGGAUGACCGGCAACACUGGAACUGAGACACGGCCCGGACUCCUACGGGAGGCAGCAGUGGGGAAUAUUGCACAAUGGGCGCAAGCCUGAUGCAGCCAUGCCGCGUGGAUGAAGAAGGUCGUCGGGUUGUAAAGUACUUUCAGCGGGGAGGCGUUACCCGCAUAAGAAGCACCGGCUAACUCCGUGCCAGCAGCCGCGGUAAUAC
This 406-nucleotide ribosomal RNA is filed under the name uncultured bacterium. Its description in RNAcentral is "partial 16S ribosomal RNA". It matches the Rfam family "Bacterial small subunit ribosomal RNA", at positions 30 to 526 of the family's 1533-position model. The record is from RNAcentral.